Molecule: long non-coding RNA, 1183 nt
Organism: Esox lucius (northern pike)
Lineage: Eukaryota; Metazoa; Chordata; Actinopteri; Esociformes; Esocidae
Source: Ensembl
UGUGGUUUGUUUUUAGUCUCAGUGCUACAGAGAUUUCUUCUGUGUGACCAAAAUUGUCAGUUUAAAGAACAAACAAAAAUGUUUUUUGACAAUAUUGAGAACAGAAUGUCUGUCUAUAAAUAUAUAAAUAUAUAUAUUCAAACAUUUCUAUUGUUAGGGUAAUAAUGAGCUUUUGAGCCGAGCUAGUUGUUUGUCUUAUGAGUCUGCUGUUAGUGAUGGGCCGUGUUUGUGUAAGCGACUCGGUUGAGCGGAUCUUUGUGCGUGCGUGCGUUGCUGUUCUGCCCCAGGACUACGAUUUGCUCAACAUCUCUCAGGAGUCUGGAAUUCUGUCUGGUGAUUCUGAGUCCUUUUCCUCGCGGGAAUUUCGACCUUUCCAUACUAUCUUCAUUGGUGCAGGAGUUCCUCUUGGAGUUAAUGUUCAAUAAUGCCCCCCUCACUGACUCCUUGACCUAUACUACAAAUAUUGUUUACAUCUAAGAACAGUUUAAUGAAGGCAUUUGGGGAUUUUUGACACCGUGCAAUGGACUUUUUCCCCCUCUAUCCUAAAUUGUGCAUUGCCCAUUAUAUCCGGUUGAAAGUGGCCUUUGUGGAGUACAACUGUUAAUUUGAGACUCCCUUAGUGCCCCACUCAUAUCAGCCUGUUAGUCUCCUGCAUUUUGAAUGAACGUUCUAAAGCAUUCCUGUUCUCCACCAUUGAGUAUGGCUUAAUGCAACAUUCCCCUUCCCCUCAUAUUCCUUCUAGUUUAAUAUGGCUCUUGUGUUGCUGUUUUUUUUUCUCCAAACAAAGGCUAUGAAAUUGCCUGAGCAACCCUAACCCUGAGUGACACUACAUCACGUUUCAGCUGGCCCUCUGGGGCCUCUGUUCUGCCAUUGAAACACUAAAAUUGGUUUCUUUAAAUGUAUUGUGUAUUGGGGCCCUGGUCAGAUGUAUGCAUUUUGGGCUGUCUCUCUGACUGGACAAUGCCCAGUGUCAUGCCACACCCUGAGAGAUGGCAAAAGGAAGAGUCCUGGGGGGCUCCACCCAGACCCCCUCUGCUUCAGUGUUUUAGUGGUCUCCAUUUGGUAACUUUGUGACUGUCAAGGUAAUCCCAAUAAAAAAUAAAGUGUAACCAAUGGAACUGUCUUAUUUCUGUAGCAGAUGUUGGGUCCCAAAAAUGCAUUAAAUAUUAUCUAAAAAGUUGAC